RNAcentral lists this ribosomal RNA (253 nucleotides) under uncultured bacterium. Its description in RNAcentral is "partial 16S ribosomal RNA". It matches the Rfam family "Bacterial small subunit ribosomal RNA", at positions 524 to 776 of the family's 1533-position model. The record is from RNAcentral.
UACGUAGGGUGCGAGCGUUGUCCGGAAUUACUGGGCGUAAAGAGCUCGUAGGUGGUUUGUCGCGUUGUUCGUGAAAACUCACAGCUCAACUGUGGGCGUGCGGGCGAUACGGGCAGACUGGAGUACUGCAGGGGAGACUGGAAUUCCUGGUGUAGCGGUGGAAUGCGCAGAUAUCAGGAGGAACACCGGUGGCGAGGGCGGGUCUCUGGGCAGUAACUGACGCUGAGGAGCGAAAGCGUGGGGAGCGAACAGG